CCUGGCUCAGAUUGAACGCUGGCGGCAUGCUUUACACAUGCAAGUCGAACGGCAGCACGGGUGCUUGCACCUGGUGGCGAGUGGCGGACGGGUGAGUAAUACAUCGGAACGUAUCCAGAAGAGGGGGAUAACGCAUCGAAAGAUGUGCUAAUACCGCAUAUUCUCUGAGGAGGAAAGCAGGGGAUCGAAAGACCUUGCGCUUUGGGAGCGGCCGAUGUCUGAUUAGCUAGUUGGUGGGGUAAAGGCCUACCAAGGCGACGAUCAGUAGUUGGUCUGAGAGGACGACCAGCCACACUGGGACUGAGACACGGCCCAGACUCCUACGGGAGGCAGCAGUGGGGAAUUUUGGACAAUGGGCGCAAGCCUGAUCCAGCAAUGCCGCGUGAGUGAAGAAGGCCUUCGGGUUGUAAACUGCUUUUGUACGGAACGAAACGGCCUUUUCUAAUACAGAAGGCUAAUGACGGUACCGUAAGAAUAAGCACCGGCUAACUACGUG
This 496-nucleotide ribosomal RNA is filed under the name uncultured bacterium. Its description in RNAcentral is "bacterial SSU rRNA". It matches the Rfam family "Bacterial small subunit ribosomal RNA", at positions 18 to 507 of the family's 1533-position model. The record is from RNAcentral.